GGUCUAGUGGUGUAGUUGGUUAUCACGUCAGUCUAACAGUCCGAGAUCUCCUCAUCGAGUUCUCCCCCUGUUCCACUGAAGGUCUCCGGUUCAAGUCCGGGCUAGAUCA
Molecule: non-coding RNA, 109 nt
Organism: Colletotrichum acutatum
Lineage: Eukaryota; Fungi; Ascomycota; Sordariomycetes; Glomerellales; Glomerellaceae
Source: the annotation of a RefSeq genome assembly